This 620-nucleotide ribosomal RNA is filed under the name Rhodotorula mucilaginosa. RNAcentral describes it as "eukaryotic LSU rRNA". The stretch from base 185 to 338 matches the Rfam family "5.8S ribosomal RNA". The record is from RNAcentral. Lineage: Eukaryota; Fungi; Basidiomycota; Microbotryomycetes; Sporidiobolales; Sporidiobolaceae.
UCCGUAAGGUGAACCUGCGGAAGGAUCAUUAGUGAAUAUAGGACGUCCAACUUAACUUGGAGUCCGAACUCUCACUUUCUAACCCUGUGCACUUGUUUGGGAUAGUAACUCUCGCAAGAGAGCGAACUCCUAUUCACUUAUAAACACAAAGUCUAUGAAUGUAUUAAAUUUUAUAACAAAAUAAAACUUUCAACAACGGAUCUCUUGGCUCUCGCAUCGAUGAAGAACGCAGCGAAAUGCGAUAAGUAAUGUGAAUUGCAGAAUUCAGUGAAUCAUCGAAUCUUUGAACGCACCUUGCGCUCCAUGGUAUUCCGUGGAGCAUGCCUGUUUGAGUGUCAUGAAUACUUCAACCCUCCUCUUUCUUAAUGAUUGAAGAGGUGUUUGGUUUCUGAGCGCUGCUGGCCUUUACGGUCUAGCUCGUUCGUAAUGCAUUAGCAUCCGCAAUCGAACUUCGGAUUGACUUGGCGUAAUAGACUAUUCGCUGAGGAAUUCUAGUCUUCGGACUAGAGCCGGGUUGGGUUAAAGGAAGCUUCUAAUCAGAAUGUCUACAUUUUAAGAUUAGAUCUCAAAUCAGGUAGGACUACCCGCUGAACUUAAGCAUAUCAAUAAGCGGAGGAAAA